Molecule: ribosomal RNA, 300 nt
Filed under: uncultured Glomeraceae
Lineage: Eukaryota; Fungi; Glomeromycota; Glomeromycetes; Glomerales; Glomeraceae
Description: eukaryotic LSU rRNA
Source: RNAcentral
GUGAGAUUGGGAUCUCUUGGUGUCACUUUUUCGUACGGUUAGUCAACAUCGGGUUUUAAUUCAUUAUAAAAAUACGGUUGAAGGAAUGUAACUUUGAUUUCGAUCGAGGUAUUAUAGCCUUUGACAGAUGUAAUGAUCAAGACCGAGGAUUGCAACGGAUAUCCUUCAGGGCUAUUCGUCUGAUCUCUGAUACGUUGCCUUGAUGUUGAAAGCUUUGCUUAUGAUUGUUAGGGUAUUACGGUCAAAAGGUUAGAACGAAUUACAUUCGUUAAGGAUGUUGACGUAAUGGCUUUAAACGAC